RNAcentral lists this ribosomal RNA (429 nucleotides) under Acidobacteriota bacterium. Its description in RNAcentral is "Acidobacteria bacterium partial 16S ribosomal RNA". It matches the Rfam family "Bacterial small subunit ribosomal RNA", at positions 355 to 776 of the family's 1533-position model. Lineage: Bacteria; Pseudomonadati; Acidobacteriota. The record is from RNAcentral.
UGGGGAAUUUUGGACAAUGGGGGAAACCCUGAUCCAGCCAUCCCGCGUGUGCGAUGAAGGCCUUCGGGUUGUAAAGCACUUUUGGCAGGAAAGAAACGUCAUGGGUUAAUACCCCGUGAAACUGACGGUACCUGCAGAAUAAGCACCGGCUAACUACGUGCCAGCAGCCGCGGUAAUACGUAGGGUGCAAGCGUUAAUCGGAAUUACUGGGCGUAAAGCGUGCGCAGGCGGUUCGGAAAGAAAGAUGUGAAAUCCCAGAGCUCAACUUUGGAACUGGAAUUUUAAAGACCCGGGUAGGGGGGGGCAGAGGGAGGGGGAAUUCCGGGUGUAGCAGUGAAAUGCGGAGAUAUGCGGAGGAAAACCGAUGGCGAAGGCAGCCGCCUGGGAUAACACUGAAGCUUAUGCACGAAAGCGUGGGGAGCAAACAGG